GACGAAGGGGGCUAGCGUUGUUCGGAAUUACUGGGCGUAAAGCGCGUGUAGGCGGUUGCCCUAGUCAGGUGUGAAAGCCUUGAGCUCAACUCAAGAAAUGCACUUGAUACUGGGCGACUAGAGGACCGGAGAGGAUAGUGGAAUUCCCAGUGUAGUGGUGAAAUACGUAGAGAUUGGGAAGAACACCAGUGGCGAAGGCGGCUAUCUGGACGGUUUCUGACGCUAAGACGCGAAAGCGUGGGGAGCAAACAGG
RNAcentral lists this ribosomal RNA (253 nucleotides) under uncultured bacterium. RNAcentral's name for it is "partial 16S ribosomal RNA". It matches the Rfam family "Bacterial small subunit ribosomal RNA", at positions 524 to 776 of the family's 1533-position model. The record is from RNAcentral.